RNAcentral lists this small RNA (99 nucleotides) under Pedobacter sp. Leaf194. RNAcentral's name for it is "Flavo-1 RNA". It matches the Rfam family "Flavo-1 RNA". Lineage: Bacteria; Pseudomonadati; Bacteroidota; Sphingobacteriia; Sphingobacteriales; Sphingobacteriaceae. The record is from Rfam by way of RNAcentral.
AAAUAAACCUGAUUGCAACGAAAAUGCUUUUACAAAACCGAAAAGGUUUGCAAAACCUGUUUGGUUGGAAAAGUAUUGUAGUGUAAAGCAGGGCUGUAG